AUGUUUUUCGCCGGCGGUAGAGAAUUCUCUGUUUGGUGUGACUUUUUCCCUUUUCCUGUGCCCCGUGUGCCUCGCGCGAGUACAUGUGUGUGUUAUGGUGCCGUAGGUCAGUCUUGGGAUGCGUCCUGAAACCAUAGAGUCACCAGGACGACCGUGUGAAACAAGAAAUGAGUCCAUACGUGUUGCCGGCGUCUGGACCUCCACAUGCAGGGUCGCCGCCUCCUCCCUUUCCCCCUCCACAUCCUUGGUCCGCCUCACCUGCCGCUGCUCCAGGUCAGAGGUGGGUAUUUGUGAAAUCGCGGCGUACAUUCUCCACACUUUCUCCAGGAUGAAUGCACGAAAUCCCUUGCUCAACCCGUUUUGCUGCCUCGCUAUUAAGGUAAAACAACCAUCAGAUUCCUGAAGUUCAUAUCCGUCAUAUUUCUGUAUUUAAUCAUGUAAAUAAAUUCUGGACUC
Scylla paramamosain (green mud crab) is the source of this 456-nucleotide long non-coding RNA. RefSeq lists it as uncharacterized. NCBI's taxonomy places the organism in Eukaryota, Metazoa, Arthropoda, Malacostraca, Decapoda, Portunidae. The transcript has 3 exons. The record is from RefSeq and is a predicted model, not a curated record.